Molecule: long non-coding RNA, 892 nt
Organism: Anguilla anguilla (European eel)
Lineage: Eukaryota; Metazoa; Chordata; Actinopteri; Anguilliformes; Anguillidae
Exons: 2
Source: RefSeq, a predicted model, not a curated record
AAGCAAAGCAGGGUGCUCUGUCUGGUUUAUUUUUUUCCAGUUGGCUGUUCAUUUGCGUCCUGGACAGAUGUACAGCAAUGAAAGGAACCUCGUCCUCAGUCUCGCCCCAUACGAGAGGCCCUUCAGUCCCGACUGGCUUGCUAUCCAGACACCAGGAAUUCACAGAGACAAUUUGUAAAAUCCCACAGGACGGCCCCCCGAGUCGAAGCCCCCUGUGGAGGGUUCUGUCCUGUGGUGGCCUAAGUUAGGGAGUCUGGGCCUGAACAAUAGGCCCCAUUUGUCCUGCUAAAAGGUGACAGGCGGCAUUGAUUCCCAGCAGCUCCUGCUUAUCGGCGAACCCAGGCCGCCCCACAGCCCUGAAACACGCAAACGCCUGGCGUCCUUUUCUACGAGGGUGGCAGCAGCCUGUUACGACACACUUGUUAUUUCUCAUUAAUGACAUGAUCAUGUAGUAAUUAAAAAUGCUAUCCUUAAAUUACUGAGGUUUCAUUUAAAUAUUUAAAAAUAAUGUCUGACCAGCUCUGUUCUGAGGAGAAGGUGGCAGAGUAAUCUUUAAAUUUCGCAGCGUGCUGUAAAAUAAACACCAGGCCCACUACACAUCACAUGUUCCAGUUUACGCAGGAAACUAUUUCAGCUGUGUUAACUGUGCUUUCACUGGCCAAGCUGGCUGUGUUAACUGUGCUUUCACUGGCCAAGCUGGCUGUGUUAACUGUGCUUUCACUGGCCAAGCUGAUCGCAUAGCUUCAGUACAUUUGACAAGCAAAGCUUUUAUUUCAGAACACUUUCAGUGAUAUUGCCUGUGGUGGUGGUAGUGGUGGCUGUGUAAUGCUUGAUUGAGCUCUCAUGUCUGUAACCUGGUCAUUUUGCAAUAAAGAAAUGGAUGCUUUCUUUA